AAUUUAAUAGUUUAAUAAAAACAUUAAUUUUGUAAAUUAAAAAUAUAUUAUAUUAUUUAAGUUU
This 64-nucleotide transfer RNA is filed under the name Pseudognaptodon sp. QL-2014. RNAcentral's name for it is "tRNA-Thr". Lineage: Eukaryota; Metazoa; Arthropoda; Insecta; Hymenoptera; Braconidae. The record is from RNAcentral.